GUAGGUGGCAAGCGUUGUCCGGAAUUAUUGGGCGUAAAGCGCGCGCAGGUGGUUCUUUAAGUCUGAUGUGAAAGCCCCCGGGCUCAACCGGGGAGGGUCAUUGGAAACUGGGGAACUUGAGUGCAGGAGAGGAAAGUGGAAUUCCACGUGUAGCGGUGAAAUGCGUAGAUAUGUGGAGGAACACCAGUGGCGAAGGCGACUUUCUGGCCUGUAACUGACACUGAGGCGCGAAAGCGUGGGGAGCAAACAGGAUUAGAUACCCUGGUAGUCCACGCCGUAAACGAUGAGUGCUAAGUGUUGGGGGGUUUCCGCCCCUCAGUGCUGCAGCUAACGCAUUAAGCACUCCGCCUGGGGAGUACGGCCGCAAAGACUG
RNAcentral lists this ribosomal RNA (373 nucleotides) under uncultured organism. Its description in RNAcentral is "partial 16S ribosomal RNA". It matches the Rfam family "Bacterial small subunit ribosomal RNA", at positions 527 to 896 of the family's 1533-position model. The record is from RNAcentral.